This 229-nucleotide ribosomal RNA is filed under the name uncultured bacterium. RNAcentral describes it as "partial 16S ribosomal RNA". It matches the Rfam family "Bacterial small subunit ribosomal RNA", at positions 568 to 796 of the family's 1533-position model. The record is from RNAcentral.
UGCGUAGGCGGGCAGCUCAGUCAGUGGUGAAAGUUUGCAGCUCAACUGUAAAAUUGCCAUUGAUACUGGUUGUCUUGAAUUAAUGUGAAGUGGUUAGAAUAUGUAGUGUAGCGGUGAAAUGCAUAGAUAUUACAUGGAAUACCAAUUGCGAAGGCAGACCACUAACAUUAUAUUGACGCUGAGGGACGAAAGCGUGGGGAGCGAACAGGAUUAGAUACCCUGGUAGUCC